UACAGAGGGGGCAAGCGUUAUUCGGAAUUAUUGGGCGUAAAGGGCGCGUAGGCGGCCUGACAAGUGGAAGGUGAAAUCCCUCGGCUCAACUGAGGAACUGCCCUCCAAACUGUUUGGCUUGAGACCGGGAGAGGUGAGUGGAAUUCCCAGUGUAGCGGUGAAAUGCGUAGAGCUCGGGAAGAACAUCGGUGGCGAAAGCGCUCUACUGGACGACAACUGACACUCAGGGACGAAAGCUAGGGGAGCGAAUGGG
This 253-nucleotide ribosomal RNA is filed under the name uncultured bacterium. Its description in RNAcentral is "partial 16S ribosomal RNA". It matches the Rfam family "Bacterial small subunit ribosomal RNA", at positions 524 to 776 of the family's 1533-position model. The record is from RNAcentral.